CCUACGGGCGGCAGCAGUCGAGAAUCAUUCACAAUGGGGGAAACCCUGAUGGUGCGACGCCGCGUGGGGGAAUGAAGGUCUUCGGAUUGUAAACCCCUGUCAUGUGGGAGCAAAUUAAAAAGAUCGUACCACAAGAGGCAGAGACGGCUAACUCUGUGCCAGCAGCCGCGGUAAUACAGAGGUCUCAAGCGUUGUUCGGAAUCACUGGGCGUAAAGCGUGCGUAGGCUGUUUCGUAAGUCGUGUGUGAAAGGCUAGGGCUCAACCCGCGGACGGCACAUGAUACUGCGAGACUAGAGUAGUGGAGGGGGAACCGGAAUUCUCGGUGUAGCAGUGAAAUGCGUAGAUAUCGAGAGGAACACUCGUGGCGAAGGCGGGUUCCUGGACAUUAACUGACGCUGAGGCACGAAGGCCAGGGGAGCGAAAGGGAUUAGAUACCCGGGUAGUC
Molecule: ribosomal RNA, 446 nt
Filed under: uncultured bacterium
Lineage: Bacteria
Description: partial 16S ribosomal RNA
Rfam family: Bacterial small subunit ribosomal RNA
Source: RNAcentral